GCGACGGGAGUUGUGGUCCAAGAGCACGAGGGGAAAUCUCUUGGAAAGUCAAGUAGGGUAGAGGCGUUGCGCUCUUGCAAUUCCGUUGUUGUUUUUAAUUUGGGCCCGAGAGUUACAAUAAACGGAGAAAAGCGUGUUUAAGGGCGGCUGUAUCAAUUCAAAAGAAACAAUGAUUUAAAAAAUAAAAUAAAGCUAAGCCAAUCAGGCACGUCCAUGGAGUGUAGCAUGACUCAAUUAGCUUUUAACACACUGUACGAACGCUCCUCUAAGGUUGCUGACCAUGAUGGAGCCCAUCUGGUCACCUCUGUGUUUGGCAAUGCGGAUGGAGGCCGGACUGCAGAUAUCUGGGGUAGCAAAUUGUUCAGAAAGGUUCUUGAAACCGAAUAGCCUCCUGUGAAAUGUAACCAUGAUGUCCCUCUGGCUGUGGUAACUCAACAGUUACAGAAAUACCAGUAGGAAUAUUGGACUCAGUGGGGGUCGUGAUGAUUUCAUUCCUGUAUCUGAAGAUGCUUAUUCAAGGAAACGGGCUACGGUAUGGAAUUUGCAAAAGACCUUUUAUUUCUUUCGGGAUACAAAGUCAGAGGGGUUAAAGUCAUUAAACAUUUGCGGUGUUGUGGGAAUACAGGCAUACAAAAAGCUCCUCCUUUUCCUAAAUGAAUUAAUGCUGCACUCUGGACAGGUGAGUUCAUCUUCAGGUUCUCUUUGUCUGCUUGCCCCGACCUCACUGCAGAGAUUUAAAUCUGCCUGAAACACGUUCACACCUGGCAAUGUGUUUACGUAUUCUUUUCAGUGCAAUGUACGUGAGAAAAGAUGCUUAAGGAAAUUCAAACUGCAAGUUGUGAGUGGGUUGAAAAAUGUUCUGCCCGGUGUCUGUUUACAGUCAGGACUGCUAAUUAAGGAAGCCCUACUAAGCGCCUGUCACAGAAAUUUAUUACAGUACAAUCUGCUACGGAGGGACACCUCCCUCGCUGUUCUUGCCUCUGUCAGCAAAAGGAGGGACAACAUACAUGGCAUGAAACAAUCACAACAUUUAUGCAUUGAAGCGGAAAAGUCUUUUUAAAUGCACACAUUUGAAAUGCAAUAAAGCAAGUUCCAAAGCUAAGAACAUAGUGUAAUAAUUUAUUUGGAAUGUGUAUUAAAUUUGAACCUAUUCUGACACAAGGGCAGGAGAGAGCAGGGUGUGUGUUUGUGUGUUUGUGUGUUUGUGUGUUUGUGUGUGUGUGUGUGUGUGUGUGAAUCUCAGGCCCAAUUUUGAGAUGUUAGAAACUCUUUGAAAGAUGCCAUGUCCAGCCCAAAUCAUCUUUCCUGGCUUGUUGCCUUUUAUCUAAGUGUGCAUUUCAAAUUCAAUCCUUUCCCCACACCGCUCAGCUGAAUUUGGAAAGCUGAUAAUGUUUUUUUCCUGAUUCAUGGCUGGGUGGGGAAUUCUAGGAGUUGAAGCCCAUCCAACUUCAAGUUGCCAAGAUUGAGAAACACUGCUCUACAUGUCUUCUCAAAAAUAAUCUCAAGAAAAGUUUAGUGGAUAUUGAAUCACAAUCUUAGUGUCAAUGGCUUCUCUUUGAAGAAGAAGAAAUGGUUCAGAGAUCUAUAACCAAUAUGUUUUGGAGAGAAUACCUGUUUUUAGAAUCAGGAGUUUUAACAUAACAAAUGUCAACUUGAAUAAGGGCAAUUCCAUACCACACCAUUUUUUUUCCUCCCACAUCCAUACAAAUAUUUUGACAUCGACUUGCAAACUUUGUAACAUCUGCCCAUUAUAAAAUCAGAUUUCAGGCAGAAAAUAGGAAGCAAGGAAGGAAAGAAGGAGAGAAAAAGAGAGAAAGAGAAAGAAAAAUGAAGGAAG
This is a long non-coding RNA of Thamnophis elegans (Western terrestrial garter snake), 1837 nucleotides long. RefSeq lists it as uncharacterized. Lineage: Eukaryota; Metazoa; Chordata; Lepidosauria; Squamata; Natricidae. The transcript has 3 exons. The record is from RefSeq and is a predicted model, not a curated record.